Molecule: ribosomal RNA, 423 nt
Filed under: uncultured bacterium
Lineage: Bacteria
Description: partial 16S ribosomal RNA
Rfam family: Bacterial small subunit ribosomal RNA
Source: RNAcentral
AAUUUUGGACACUGGGGGAAACCCUGAUCCAGCCACCCCGCGUGUAUGAUGAAGGCCUUCUAGUUGUAAUGUACUUUUGGCAGAGAAGAAAAGGUAUCUCCUAAUACGUGAUACUGCUGAUGGUAUCUGCAGAAUAAGCACCGGCCACCUACGUCCCAGCAGCCGCGGUAAUACGUAGGGUGCAAGCGUUAAUCGGAAUUACUGGGCGUAAAGCGUGUGUAGGCGGUUCGGAAAGAAAGAUGUGAAAUCCCAGGGCUCAACCUUGGAACUGCAUUUUUAACUGCCGAGCUAGAGUAUGUCAGAGGGGGGUAGAAUUCCACGUGUAGCAGUGAAAUGCGUAGAUAUGUGGAGGAAUACCGAUGGCGAAGGCAGCUCCCUGGGAUAAUACUGACGCUCAAACACGGAAGCGUGGGGAGCAAACAG